GACCGCGUAGCUCAGUUGGCAGAGCGUUGGGCUAGUAUUGCAAAGAUCGUAGGUUCGAUUCCCACCGUGGCCA
RNAcentral lists this transfer RNA (73 nucleotides) under Paramuricea clavata. It matches the Rfam family "tRNA". From Rfam's summary of the family: Transfer RNA (tRNA) molecules are approximately 80 nucleotides in length. Their secondary structure includes four short double-helical elements and three loops (D, anti-codon, and T loops). Further hydrogen bonds mediate the characteristic L-shaped molecular structure. tRNAs have two regions of fundamental functional importance: the anti-codon, which is responsible for specific mRNA codon recognition, and the 3' end, to which the tRNAs corresponding amino acid is attached (by aminoacyl-tRNA synthetases). tRNAs cope with the degeneracy of the genetic code in two manners: having more than one tRNA (with a specific anti-codon) for a particular amino acid; and 'wobble' base-pairing, i.e. permitting non-standard base-pairing at the 3rd anti-codon position. The record is from Rfam by way of RNAcentral. Lineage: Eukaryota; Metazoa; Cnidaria; Anthozoa; Malacalcyonacea; Plexauridae.